UUUUAAAUGGCCGCAGUAUUUUGACUGUGCAAAGGUAGCAUAAUCAUUAGUUUUUUAAUUAAAAGCUUGUAUGAAAGGCUGGACGAGGUAAAAUCUGUCUCUAUUUAAAUUAUAGUAGAAUUUAACUUUUAAGUUAAAAGGCUUAAAUAUUAUUAAAAGACGAGAAGACCCUAUAGAUCUUUAUAAUUAAUUAAAUAAAAUUUAUUUAGAAUUAUUUAUGUUUUAUUUAAUUAAUUAUUUAAUUGGGGUAAUUGAAAGAUUGAAUUAAUUCUUUUUUAUAAUAAACAUUAAUUUAUGAAUAUUAAAUGAUCCAGUUUUACUGAUUAUAAGAUUAAGUUACCUUAGGGAUAACAGCGUAAUUUUUUUAGAGAGUUCAUAUCGAUAAAAAAGUUUGCGACCUCGAUGUUGGAUUAAAGAUUAUUUUAGGUGCAGAAGCUUAAUAAUUUUGGUCUGUUCGACCAUUGAAUCUUUACAUGAUCUGAGUUCAGACCGGCGUAAGCCAGGUCGGUUUCUAUCUUUAAUAAAAUAAAAUAUUUUAGUACGAAAGGACCAAGUAUUUGAUAUAUUUAUAUUUAGUUAAUUGAAUAUUA
Molecule: ribosomal RNA, 590 nt
Filed under: Carabus morbillosus
Lineage: Eukaryota; Metazoa; Arthropoda; Insecta; Coleoptera; Carabidae
Description: LSU rRNA
Rfam family: Bacterial large subunit ribosomal RNA
Source: RNAcentral